UGGCCGGUGACUUUUGCUCCUGAGGGGGCG
This 30-nucleotide small RNA is filed under the name Bombyx mori (domestic silkworm). Its description in RNAcentral is "ovarian small RNA-34814". The record is from RNAcentral. Lineage: Eukaryota; Metazoa; Arthropoda; Insecta; Lepidoptera; Bombycidae.